Molecule: unclassified non-coding RNA, 380 nt
Filed under: uncultured Pseudomonadota bacterium
Lineage: Bacteria; Pseudomonadati; Pseudomonadota
Description: uncultured proteobacterium contains 16S-23S intergenic spacer region
Source: RNAcentral
UCCGAGUUGACCCCGGCAGUCUCCUAUGAGUCCCCGGCAUUACCCGCUGGCAACAUGGGACAGGGGUUGCGCUCGUUGCGGGACUUAACCCAACAUCUCACGACACGAGCUGACGACGGCCAUGCAGCACCUGUGUUCUGGCUCUCUUUCGAGCACUCCCAAAUCUCUUCAGGAUUCCAGACAUGUCAAGGGUAGGUAAGGUUUUUCGCGUUGCAUCGAAUUAAACCACAUCAUCCACCGCUUGUGCGGGCCCCCGUCAAUUCCCUUGAGUUUCAACCUUGCGGCCGUACUUCCCAGGCGGAUAACUUAAUGCGUUAGCUGCGCCACCAAAAGCCCAUGGCCCCUGACAGCUAGUUAUCAUCGUUUACGGCGUGGACUAC